Molecule: unclassified non-coding RNA, 299 nt
Organism: Callithrix jacchus (white-tufted-ear marmoset)
Lineage: Eukaryota; Metazoa; Chordata; Mammalia; Primates; Cebidae
Rfam family: Metazoan signal recognition particle RNA
About the family: The signal recognition particle (SRP) is a universally conserved ribonucleoprotein. It is involved in the co-translational targeting of proteins to membranes. The eukaryotic SRP consists of a 300-nucleotide 7S RNA and six proteins: SRPs 72, 68, 54, 19, 14, and 9.
Source: Ensembl
GCCAGGUGCAGUGGCAUGUGCCUAUAGUCCCAGCUAUUCAGGAGGCUGAGGCUGGAGGAUUGCUUGAAUCCAGGAGUUAUGGGCUAUAGUGCGCUAUGCCAAUCGGGUGUCUGCACUAAGUUCGGCAUCAAUAUGGUGACCUCCCGGGAGCAGGGGACCACCAGGUUGCCCAAGGAGUGGUGAACCGGCCAGGUUGGAAACAGAGCAGGUCAAAACUCCCGUGCUGAUCAGUAGUGGGAUCACGCCCUUGAAUAGCCACUGCACUCUAGCCUGGGCAACAUAGCAAGACCCUGUCUCUG